This 253-nucleotide ribosomal RNA is filed under the name uncultured bacterium. Its description in RNAcentral is "partial 16S ribosomal RNA". It matches the Rfam family "Bacterial small subunit ribosomal RNA", at positions 524 to 776 of the family's 1533-position model. The record is from RNAcentral.
UACGUAGGGUGCAAGCGUUAAUCGGAAUUACUGGGCGUAAAGCGUGCGCAGGCGGUUAUGUAAGACAGGUGUGAAAUCCCCGGGCUUAACCUGGGAACUGCAUUUGUGACUGCAUAGCUAGAGUACGGUAGAGGGGGAUGGAAUUCCGCGUGUAGCAGUGAAAUGCGUAGAUAUCAGGAGGAACACCGAUGGCGAAGGCAGGUCUCUGGGCUGAUACUGACGCUCAUGCACGAAAGCGUGGGGAGCAAACAGG